CCUACGGGGGGCAGCAGUGAGGAAUAUUGGUCAAUGGGCGCUAGCCUGAACCAGCCAAGCAGCGUGAAGGAUGACUGCCCCAUGGGUCGUAAACUUCUUUUAUAUGGGAAUAAAGUGCAGUAUGUAUACUGCUUUGCAUGUACCUUAUGAAUAAGGAUCGGCUAACUCCGUGCCAGCAGCCGCGGUAAUACGGAGGAUCCGAGCGUUAUCCGGAUUUAUUGGGUUUAAAGGGAGCGUAGGCGGGUUGUUAAGUCAGUUGUGAAAGUUUGCGGCUCAACCGUAAGAUUGCAGUUGAUACUGGCAGCCUUGAGUACGGUAGAGGUAGGCGGAAUGCGUGGUGUAGCGGUGAAAUGCUUAGAUAUCGCGAAGAACUCCGAUUGCGAAGGCAGCCUGCUGGACUGUAACUGACGCUGAUGCUCGAAAGUGUGGGUAUCGAACAGGAUUAGAUACCCCAGUAGUC
This 460-nucleotide ribosomal RNA is filed under the name uncultured bacterium. RNAcentral's name for it is "partial 16S ribosomal RNA". It matches the Rfam family "Bacterial small subunit ribosomal RNA", at positions 338 to 795 of the family's 1533-position model. The record is from RNAcentral.